Molecule: long non-coding RNA, 1221 nt
Filed under: Taeniopygia guttata (zebra finch)
Lineage: Eukaryota; Metazoa; Chordata; Aves; Passeriformes; Estrildidae
Description: lncRNA (ENSTGUG00000019104.1)
Source: RNAcentral
GGGGGAAUGAGGGUCUCCUGCAGGCACCCACAGGAUGUGACCCAUUCCUUCUGCCUUUCCAAACACCCAUUAACCCAGAUCAAUUGCAAUUCAUUCACUGCCCGAAAUCAGUGUUCAAAUUCCAGCGUCUGAGAUGCUCACAAAAACCACUUGCUGGCUCCUUCCUCUGUAAAUUUGGGUUAGUGGGAUGUUUGGUGGUGUCCACAGGAGGACUUGGCAGUGUUUUGAACACUGACCAAGCAGUGCUCUUCAAAAGAGAGCAGCAGUCUCACUACUCAACUUCCAGUCCGCUCUGUAAAUCCUGCUAGGACAGCAAGCAUCAGAAACCAAUCCAAGUGUGCAAAGCAGGCUCGGUGGGAGGAGGUGGGAGGUGUAUUCCCACAGGCACCUGCUGAAGCAUCUCCUCAGCUCCUCCUGGCAGCACACAAAGAGUCACCAGCUUUGGCAGAGCUCAGAGCGGGGACUCCUCCCUCCUCCCGGCUCUCUCCAUCCUUCAGGCUCAGAGGGAGCCAGGCUCUGGAGAGAGCUGCUGCUGCCUGCCUGGGUCCCUGAGUGACAGCACCGAGAGCUGCAGAUGUGCAGCACCCACACGCCACUCCACAGCAGUGCAGCCACAGCCCAGGCCGAGGCACCACGACGGUGCUGGUGGGACCAGGCACAAAAUUCUGCCCACCCUGAGGCUCCUGAGUCGGCUUCUCUGGACACUGGACCAGAGUGAUAUGCUAGAUAAUAUCCAAAUACUGAAAUGCAAAGCAGGGCUGUGCCGCCCAGCUGGCUCCCUGCAGGAAAUGCUGCUGGUACCAUGCACAAGGGAUGGAAAAUGCGUCUCUCCGGAGCAGCUGCUGAGGCGCUGCUUCCUGCUUCCAGACCUUUGGAGCUCCAGCAUUUCCCAGCAAACCCGAAAUUCAUGGCAGGGCACCACUCGCCACCGUCUCGUUUUUGGUCCCCACGUUACCCCACAGCACCCCCAUCCCAGGGAGCUCCACCAGACCGAGACAAGGGAAUAUUGCAAGUGCUGUAUUUACAGGGCACUGUUAACUUCUGCUGCUGCUAUUUACAGUUUAUUUACAAACAAUCCCUGCAGUCACCAACAGCUGAACCCAGCAGAGGCAGACAGAACUUUAUGGCAGGCUGGCAAGGCAGAGCAGCCAGUUCCUCUCCUUUUCCCUUUCCAGCCCUGCCGAGGAAGGGCUGCCGUGGUUUGUGGCCGGGCUGGCACGG